This is a non-coding RNA of Acinetobacter sp. RIFCSPHIGHO2_12_41_5, 202 nucleotides long. The record is from Rfam. NCBI's taxonomy places the organism in Bacteria, Pseudomonadati, Pseudomonadota, Gammaproteobacteria, Moraxellales, Moraxellaceae.
UAAAGCAUCUUUACGUAUAGCUUAGUUUGUCGAUAUGAGGCAUAAUGCCCUACAACGUAGCGGUGUCUUAUGAUUGAGAAGUGUUUUUAAACUUAAAAAGAAACUUUUCAAUCAUGCGACACUUUAAUCGCUAUCCCAAUUUUAUUAGGGAAUGGGACUCUUCACCGAGGUUGUAAAAUGAGACAAACGAUUUUAGCUGUAU